GCUUCUUCAGCUCAGUUGGUUAGAGCGCUGCACCGGAAUCGCAGGGCCGCAGGUUCGAUUCCUGCCAUGCAAGGACCU
This 78-nucleotide transfer RNA is filed under the name Paramuricea clavata. Its description in RNAcentral is "tRNA-Ser". The stretch from base 9 to 65 matches the Rfam family "tRNA", at positions 9 to 63 of the family's 71-position model. Rfam says of the family: Transfer RNA (tRNA) molecules are approximately 80 nucleotides in length. Lineage: Eukaryota; Metazoa; Cnidaria; Anthozoa; Malacalcyonacea; Plexauridae. The record is from RNAcentral.